RNAcentral lists this transfer RNA (76 nucleotides) under Gammaproteobacteria bacterium. RNAcentral's name for it is "tRNA-Ala". It matches the Rfam family "tRNA". Rfam says of the family: Transfer RNA (tRNA) molecules are approximately 80 nucleotides in length. Lineage: Bacteria; Pseudomonadati; Pseudomonadota; Gammaproteobacteria. The record is from RNAcentral.
GGGGCCGUAGCUCAGCCGGGAGAGCGCCUGCUUUGCAAGCAGGAGGUCAGGAGUUCGAUCCUCCUCGGCUCCACCA